UACGAAGGGGGCUAGCGUUGUUCGGAAUUACUGGGCGUAAAGGGCGCGUAGGCGGUACUUCAAGUCAGGCGUGAAAGCCCCGGGCUCAACCUGGGAACCGCGCUUGAGACCGGAGAACUAGAGUUCGGGAGAGGAUGGUGGAAUUCCCAGUGUAGAGGUGAAAUUCGUAGAUAUUGGGAAGAACACCGAUGGCGAAGGCAGCCAUCUGGACCGACACUGACGCUGAGGCGCGAAAGCGUGGGGAGCAAACAGG
This 253-nucleotide ribosomal RNA is filed under the name uncultured bacterium. RNAcentral's name for it is "partial 16S ribosomal RNA". It matches the Rfam family "Bacterial small subunit ribosomal RNA", at positions 524 to 776 of the family's 1533-position model. The record is from RNAcentral.